UGAUGGAGAGGCGCAAUUCACUGGGA
RNAcentral lists this small RNA (26 nucleotides) under Bombyx mori (domestic silkworm). RNAcentral's name for it is "ovarian small RNA-8363". The record is from RNAcentral. Lineage: Eukaryota; Metazoa; Arthropoda; Insecta; Lepidoptera; Bombycidae.